GAUCAUGGCUCAGAUUGAACGCUGGCGGAACGCUUUACACAUGCAAGUCGAACGGUAACGCAGGGAGAAGCUUGCUUCUCCCCGGCGACGAGUGGCGAACGGGUGAGUAAUACAUCGGAACGUGUCCGCUCGUGGGGGACAACCAGCCGAAAGGUUGGCUAAUACCGCAUGAGUUCUACGAAGAAAGAGGGGACCCGGCAAGGGCCGUCUCGCGAGCGGAGCGGCCGGAUGACUGAUUAGCCGGUUGGGUGGAGGG
Molecule: ribosomal RNA, 256 nt
Filed under: uncultured bacterium
Lineage: Bacteria
Description: partial 16S ribosomal RNA
Rfam family: Bacterial small subunit ribosomal RNA
Source: RNAcentral